This 204-nucleotide ribosomal RNA is filed under the name uncultured bacterium. RNAcentral describes it as "partial 16S ribosomal RNA". It matches the Rfam family "Bacterial small subunit ribosomal RNA", at positions 524 to 724 of the family's 1533-position model. The record is from RNAcentral.
UACGGGGGGAGCAAGCGUUGUUCGGAUUUACUGGGCGUAAAGGGCGCGUAGGCGGCCACCGCAAGUCGACUGUGAAAUCUCCGGGCUUAACCCGGAAAGGUCAGCCGAUACUGCGGGGCUAGAGUGCAGAAGGGGCAACUGGGAAUUCUCGGUGUAGCGGUGAAAUGCGUAGAUAUCGAGGAGGAACACCUGCGGCGAAGGCGG